RNAcentral lists this ribosomal RNA (506 nucleotides) under uncultured bacterium. RNAcentral describes it as "partial 16S ribosomal RNA". The record is from RNAcentral.
GGAGUUAGCCGGUGCUUCUUCUGUGAGUGAUGUCCUUCCUGCCGGUUAUUGACCCGCAGGCCUUCUUCCUCACUGAAAGUGCUUUACAACCCGAAGGCCUUCUUCACACACGCGGCAUGGCUGGAUCAGGGUUGCCCCCAUUGUCCAAUAUUCCCCACUGCUGCCUCCCGUAGGAGUCUGGGCCGUGUCUCAGUCCCAGUGUGGCUGAUCAUCCUCUCAGACCAGCUACGGAUCGUCGCCUUGGUGAGCCGUUACCUCACCAACCAGCUAAUCCGACAUAGGCUCAUCCGAUAGCGCGAGGCCCGAAGGUCCCCCGCUUUCCCCCGUAGGGCGUAUGCGGUAUUAGCCUGGGUUUCCCCAGGUUAUCCCCCACUACCGGGCAGAUUCCUAUGCAUUACUCACCCGUCCGCCGCUCGCCACCAGGGAGCAAGCUCCCCGUGCUGCCGCUCGACUUGCAUGUGUUAGGCCUGCCGCCAGCGUUCAAUCUGAACCAGAUCAAACUCUGA